UAGCAUGGCGGGGGCCUACUGUGCGUCUCGAGCGUGAUGAGUGGAUCUUGCUCCGUGAUUCCGCGGCAGACGGGUGAAUAGUGCCUAAGAAUCUGCGUGGUAGUGGGGGACAACUUUUCAAAGAGAACGCUAAUACCGCAUACCUCCUACGGGAGAAAGUGGGGGAUCUUCAGACCUCACGCUAUCAUAUGACCCUAUGUCAGAUUAUCUAUUUGGUGAGGUAAGGGCUCACCAGGGCGAAUAUCCGUAAGUGGUCAGAGAAGAAGAUCACUCACUGUGGAAGUGACACGCGGCCCACACUCCUACGGGAGGCCACAGUGGGGAAUAUUGGACAGUGGGAGAACCCCUGAUCCCCCCGUGCCGCGUGUGUAAAAAAUGUCUUCAGAUUGUAAAGCUUUUUAUUUUGGGAAGAAGGGCAAUAUUUUUAUACUUUGGUGUUUUGACUUUACCAACAAAAUACACCCCGGCUAACUUCGUGCCCACCCCCGCGGAUAUAAAAAGGGUGCAAGCGUUAAUCGAAAUUAGUGGGCAUAAAGCGCGCAUAGGUGUUUCUUUAAUUUGUAUGAGAACCCCCCGGGCUCACCCUGAGCACUGUCUCCAACAGUGGAGAUCUAGUAUAUGACAGAGGGUGGUGAAUUUUCCUGUGUAGCGGUAAAGUGCAUAUAUAUAGGAGAGAACACCUGUGGAGAACGCGACCCCCUGCUCAAACUCUGACACUGAUGUGCAAACGCGUGGAGAACAAACAAUUAUAUAUACCCUGGGUACUCCACGCCGAAAAAUAUGUCCACUACCCUUUGAUAUCCGUGAUAUCUUUGGGGCACAUCUCACACAUUAUCUCCACCCGCCUGGAGAACACGGCCGCC
Molecule: ribosomal RNA, 863 nt
Filed under: Stutzerimonas stutzeri
Lineage: Bacteria; Pseudomonadati; Pseudomonadota; Gammaproteobacteria; Pseudomonadales; Pseudomonadaceae
Description: bacterial SSU rRNA
Rfam family: Bacterial small subunit ribosomal RNA
Source: RNAcentral